ACCAGACUUGCCCUCCAAAAGUUCCUCGUUAAAGGAUUUAGAAUGUACUCAUUCCAAUUACGAAGCCUCAUAAGAGUCCCGCAUUGUUAUUUUUUGUCACUACCUCCCCGAGCCGGGAUUGGGUAAUUUGCGCGCCUGCUGCCUUCCUUAGAUGUGGUAGCCGUUUCUCAGGCUCCCUCUCCGGAAUCGAACCCUAAUUCCCCGUUACCCGUUACAACCAUGGUAAACAUAUAAUAUACCAUCGACAGUUGAUAGAGCAGAUACUUUAAAGGAAUAGCACUGACACGAGGUCCAAAUGCUCAGCAAAGUUAUUCAGAGUCACCAUUUUGCAGCCCGAGGGCCUGGUUUGCACUAAUAAAAGCACAGCCGGACAGAGCCCAGCCGUAUAUGCAUGUAUUAGCUCUAGAAUUACCACAGUUAUCCAAUUAACGAAUCACAUCCUAUUAAAUUAUAACUGAUUUAAUGAGCCAUUCGCGGAUUCACCUUUCAUAGAUAUGAUCUUACACCUGCAUGGCUUAAUCUUUAAGACAAGCAUAUGACUACUGGCAGGAUCAACCAG
This 559-nucleotide ribosomal RNA is filed under the name uncultured eukaryote. RNAcentral's name for it is "partial 18S ribosomal RNA". The record is from RNAcentral.